GCAGAGAUGCCGCUAACCCCAUUGCACCACAGCAGGAACUCCUGUGAUAGCUCCUCGUGGGAACGCAGAGGGCUAAACUCUCUUUUCUCCCUCCACUUCCAUCACUCAUGUCACCCUUUCCACCUGGCUCCAUCCCCAUGUGGUAAUUUUCACUCAGUCAAUAUUCAGUGUUUACAUUACUAUACUAUUUAAAUGCUGGGUGUUCCUGCUGGCUCAGUGGUUAAUGAAUCCAACUAGGAACCAUGAGGUUUCAAGUUCUAUCCCGGGCCUUGCUCAGUGGGUUAAGGAUCUGGCAUUGCUGUGAGCUGUGGUGUGGGUCUCAGAUGCGCCUCAGAUCCUGUGUUGCUGAUCCAAGCCCUCUACAAUUUCCAUGGGAAAUUGACCUGUUUAAAGUUUGAAAAAAAUUUCAGCAGCAAUGUAAGUAUAUCAUUUAGAGAUAUCUGAAUGCCAAAAUAAUGAGAUGAGGGAAGAGAGAGUUAGGGAGAGGGCAGAGGAAGAGUGUAGGAGGUUUCUCAUAGCACAUCUUAGAGUGCUUGCUAUUCAGUUCUUUAAAAUCAGGCCUAGGAGUUCCUCGGUGGUGCAGCGGGUUAAGUAUCCAGUACUGUGACUGCAGCAGCCCAGGCUUCUGCCAUGACGAGGCUUCAGUCCCUGGCCCAGGAAUUUCCACAUACUCAGGCCCAGCCAAAAUGUGAACAAAUAAUAAAAUUAGGCCUAGAUACCUGUGACUUAAAAUCUGUAUAUUAUACAUAGAUUUCAAACUGAUUAACAAAGAUAAGAAGGAAAAACGUACCGAAAAGCCAAAUUAAUGAGCGCAUCUGUCUCCACCGCCAGAGGUGAGAGGUACAGACAGUGCUGAUCCCCGUCUGUGCAUCUUUCCCAGCAAACUGCUCUGUCCACAUGCUGUGGACGUGCCGCCUUGGUCGGAAGCUGAUGAAAUGAUGUCCCCUCACUUAGGGAUGAUAGGAUCCAGCUGGUCUCGGCCUUCUUGGAACAUCUCCCUUUUAUCUGCUUUUGUUUAUCUGCCACUCUUGGUUGUAUUUCUUUAGGACACUUUUUGAUCUUACAGACAGUACAGAUUAAUUCCUGAGCAUCGAGGCAUUGUAAGACCUGAAAAAUUCUGGAGUUUAAGGAGCUCCUUACCCCUUCUUCAGAAGGAAACGGUAUAUGCCUCUUACUUUAAAAGGCCAGGCUGGGAGAGGGGGUGGCCCCUCUCUCUUACCCGCGUGUCUUUUAUUUUGCCCACCUUACAGUCUCAGAAAGGGAGCGCCAAGGGGGCUUUCCCUUUUUCUGGUCACAAGGCUUUUAAUCUCAUUAAAACAGUGGACCUGCUCUUCAGAAAAAUUCCUGUGUACAGAUUUCCCACACACUUUAGGAGAAGCAGGGAGUCCCAGAAGCCCAUUCAGAGACCACUUAAGUGCCCAUGAACCUGCUCCGAGUCUGAUCCGUAUCACUUGUUCCGCUAAUAGAUUCUAAGUAAGCGUUGAGUUAAAUGACUGAAGGGACCCAAAGAGAGGGCUUCUGGUUCCAGCUGACUCACGGGUGAGAGCGAGGGCCCACAACCAAUGCACUCUUUUAUGACUUUGAUUUUCCUUCUGACAUCGGAAGGACUGGUUUGGACUCUCUCUCUUUCCCUGCUCUUUGGAUUCUGUCUGCCCUUGGAUGGUCCUCCACGCCCCCCCUUUAAGACUAUCUUCUCUCCGGCCUAGACACCUGAAUUUCUAGCCCCAGCUUAUAAAACAAGCCUUCAGCAGUAUGUCUUGCCAUUCUUAAAUAAAUAGAGAAGUAAUGCCCCAUGGUGCCCAGGUUGUUCUCCCUGUUGCAGGCUGCCAUCUGGCUCCAGUGGAUGUCUAGUGAACAUGUAUGUACUAGCUCUUAAAACCUACAUAAAGGUGUCAAAUGCCCAUCAUUAAAGACGAAUACUUUUUGAGAUAUUGCUUUACCAAUUAGCCACCAGGAGCUGUCGGGCCAAGUCCUAAUCAUUUAGCCAGUCGUGGACGUUUUGAAGAUGUCCAAGUCCAAAGGAGAGUUGGGGAUAUUUGGCAAGUUGAGGAGUGCUAAUAGUGCCAGGAUAACUACAUUCAGGAUGUUCUCAUUAUGAAAAUGCCUCCUUGCAGGCCACCUCCACUCCCUCAGCUAAUCACCAUCGGAAGUAACUGAGCAACAUUCCCCGAGCCCUGCCCUUUGCAGGAUAAUAAAACUUCCAGUGGCCAUGUGAGAAGCAAUAUAGUGGAGGUCAUAGGAGCUACCCAUGGAAUUAACCUUAUUCUGUCUGUGGUCCUUUCCUGUCUACCAAGGACAGUUCUGUCUCCAUUUAAGACCUUCUCUUGCGAUGCUGUCAGGUCGCUGUGUCUCAGAAUCACUCUGGGGACACACAGAAAGCAGGACCAGACAUUCUUGUUGUCACUGUCAGGCAUUUCCUUCAUUUUCUGGCUUCCCCUGGCCCUCUGCCUUCACCUGGCUCACUCCUGCGCAUAGCACAGCACUGUUGCUGUCACUCUAGCACUUAUCCUAACUGGCUUUAGCAAACCACCAGCUAGGAGGAUCUUGAAGACUUUGUGAUGGGUCACCAGGGUUUGCAGAAUGUUUCCUAUAAAAACAAUUUUGUUUUCCUUUCUUUGGCUUUAAAAACCAAAAGAUUACUCCAGGAGUUCCCGUCAUGGCUCAGUGGUUAAUGAAUCCGACUAGGAAUCAUGAGACUGUGCAUUCGAUCCCUGCCCUUGCUCAGUGGGUUAAGGAUCCAGCGUUGCCGUGAGCUGUGGUGUAGGCUGCAGACGUGGCUCCGAUCCCACGUUGUUAUGGGUGUGGUGUAGGCUGGCGGCUACAGCUCCGAUUCGACCCCUAGCCUGGGAACCUCCAUAUGCCGCGGGAGUGGCUCUAGAAAUGGCACACACACACAAAAAAAAAGAAUCUGAAAGAUUACUCCAAUAUGAUUAUCAAAGUCAUUAAAUCAAAACAUGAGGAGAAUUUCGUCAACGAUGGCCAGAAGUCCAGGAUCUGAGAACGCUGUUUAGUGGAACUUGGGAGGAACUUGAGGUGGAGGAGGAUGUGUCAGGGUGUGUCUUGCAAAGACACCACAGAACCAAAGCAAUGGGGGUGGUUACCCAGGAACCAGUUGCCUUAUGGAUAGAGAGCUAACUAGAAGAUUGUGUUGCUUUUUGCAGGUGUCCAUCAGGAACAAAGCAAAAAAGUUGGACUUAAACCAAAUAUAAAACCAAAACUUAGAUUAGGAAACAACAGAAUGUAGGACUCUUCCCAUUGCGAUGGAAGAUGGCUUUAGCUUUCACAAAGGGCAGGAAGUCUCAGAUUACAUGAUGAAAACCAUCUCCUCCUGGCUUAGACCAGGAGUGGUCGGUGCUUUUUUCAUUUAUGGCGAGCCUUUUAAGAAUUAUGUUUAUACGUUUGCUGUCAACGCCUCCACUGAGAGCCCAGGCUCUAUUUCCAUCUCCCCAGCCUCACACGCUGGUGCGCCUCUGAGCAAGACCAAUUAUUCAGCAUCCCCUAAGCAUUUACAUAUAAAACUCUUUGUUGUAUAUUUACAUAUGCUCCUCUUUAUGGUUGCUGAGGUCUUUCUCUUGCAGUUGCUAGGAAGUCUUAACUUCAUUGAAGCUAGGAGCCGUGUCUUUUUUCCCCUCAUCUUUUGGUUGCAUUUAGGGUAAGGCUGCAGUAAAAAGCCAGCCCUGAAACAUGUGGAUUGAUUUCACUAAUAAAUUUCUUUUCUGGGAUACAUGUCUCUGUGCCUCAGAACAGAAUUUCUGUGACUUCAGUUCAAUGUAUGUCUGAAGGGUUUUACAUUUCCCAAGAGCUCGUACUUAAAACAAUGCCAGAAGCCUAAAAGCACCAAUUUUCCUGUUCUAUUUUGUUAUGCUGCCACAUUUGACGGUGAAAGUCUCAUCUUUUCACACCCUCUGCCAUUGUUUUUAUGUGUCCACAUGUAGGAAUUAAAAUGAUCAUAGGUUGAACAGUGUUUUCCUUUUGAAGGAUUCUGUGUUUAACACUUGGCAACUGUUCUCCCCAGAAUCAACGAUAGGAUGUAGGCAUGUUUGACAGGGAAACUAGAAAAAAGCACUUUAUCAAGAUUGCUUUACACUAUCAAGGAAAAUAUGUGGAGAGGAAAUCAGAGAUGAGCAAGGGUGGCAGCCAUUGAUGGUUAUUGAAAUAGGGGUGUGAUUCAUGUGAGUUCCUGGUACCAUUCUUGCUACUUUGGGAUGAGUUCAUAAACGCCCAGAGAUUUAAAAUGAUUCAAAGAAAAUGAAGUUAAAAACCGGUCGGGAGAAAUCAUCUCUUUUUCCUCUUAUCUUUGGUUAAGAUUAUUUGGGUGCCUCCCCCUGGUAUGGGAAAUACAGUGACCGAACUGUAUUCUAGAAGUCCAUUGAAACCCUGGGUCUGUUGCUUCCAACCACUUUACCUAUUGAUGGCUCUGAAGACUUCAGAUUUCCUUUAGCUUUCCUCCUGGGUAUCGCGCGGAGGCCUAUUUUGUACACCAGGGAGACACAAGGGAAUGUCAUUUCAAAUGCCAAGAUGCAAUCUCUAUGCUCUGUUCAGUUGUGAUAAUGUCUGCGUUUCCCAGGAACUUCUCUCCGGUGUAAACUGCUUCUUUUCCAUGUCGUCUGUGCCACCACCUCAUCUUCUUGUUGUUAACUGAAGAAUUGUUCAUCUCUAUUUAGACUGCAGAUCUGCAUCUGCUUUAUGUUCUUCCAUCUGUUCCGCAUUGUAAUAUAGUAGGUGCUGCAUAACAUUUAAAGAAACAGUCAAGUUAGUGUGGGCCUGGGGCUUUCUCCUAGAGGGGAAGGUUCUUAGGCUGUUAACAGAAAUACAAAUGUGGUUUUACUACCAUGUAGCAAUCUCUCUGCCUUGAAAAAUUUGUAAAAAAAAAAAAGAAAAAGAAAAAAA
This 4890-nucleotide long non-coding RNA is filed under the name Sus scrofa (pig). RNAcentral's name for it is "lncRNA (ENSSSCG00060036049.1)". Lineage: Eukaryota; Metazoa; Chordata; Mammalia; Artiodactyla; Suidae. The record is from RNAcentral.